GUGUCAGCAGCCGCGGUAAUACGGAGACUGCGAGCGUUACUCGGAUUCACUGGGCGUAAAGGGUGCGCAGGCGGUUAAUUGUGUCAGGUGUGAAAUCCCGGAGCUCAACUCCGGAACUGCGCCUGAAACUGAUUGACUAGAGGCUCGGAAGGGUAAGCGGAAUUCCAGGUGUAGCGGUGAAAUGCGUAGAUAUCUGGAGGAACACCAAAGGCGAAGGCAGCUUACUAGACGAGAUCUGACGCUCAGGCACGAAAGCGUGGGGAGCAAAAAGGAUUAGAAACCCUGGUAGUCC
Molecule: ribosomal RNA, 292 nt
Filed under: uncultured bacterium
Lineage: Bacteria
Description: partial 16S ribosomal RNA
Rfam family: Bacterial small subunit ribosomal RNA
Source: RNAcentral